RNAcentral lists this long non-coding RNA (485 nucleotides) under Numida meleagris (helmeted guineafowl). Its description in RNAcentral is "lncRNA (ENSNMEG00000018609.1)". Lineage: Eukaryota; Metazoa; Chordata; Aves; Galliformes; Numididae. The record is from RNAcentral.
UGGAGGAACACAGCUGGUAGAAAGCUUAACCUGGAGUCAGUGUUGCCUUCUUGGCCCACAGGAAGGGAGUCUCUCUUUCUGCUCUUGUUGCACUGUAUCCAGCAAUGAGUCCAGUGGGGGCCAGUUUGCUCACAAGCAGCCAGCAGUGUGUUGGUAUCUUCACAGGCCUUCGUUAGAAGAGAUUUUUAAUGUUCCUGGCAGCGUUAGCCUGAUGAAUUCAGCUGAAUGAAUUUAUCAUUUCAUUUAUCUACUGAAGAGGUGCAAAGCUUCUAGAAGAGCAGAGAAACCUGCUAGCCAGACUAUGAAAAUGUCUCAUAAACUGCAUUAUUACUUCCAACUUUAUUGUGUGAGGGCAAUUAUUUGGCUGCUUCUUCCACAUUUUCUCUUCUAUUUUAUGUAGUCUUACUAAAACGGAAACAAAGAACAACAAUCAAAUGUCGCAAGUAUUGUAGAAAGGAUUUAAUUUUGUAAUUGCAAUUUGAAUU